CGCCAGAGACUUACACAGGGUUGCGACAUCCGCCUGGAAACAGCAGAUGGGGCGGAGGAAGGAGAGUGACGGAAGACUCCCUAGUCACGUGAUACGUCGAGCUUGUUUUGUUUCACAGUUGCUUUAAGAAAAAGACCACUACCCUGAAAAGUGACGUUCCCGAUCAUCAAUAGACAUCAGGUACUCAUUCUUACUAGGAUGUCAUAUUUCACCCGUGUCUAAGGCAACUAGGAACCCCUUUUUUAUCGGAAUUGCAGCGCUGGAGUACCCCUAAAAUGGGCCCACUAUGGAAGGAUUCAUCCCCUUUUGUGACCACAACACAAUUAUUUCUCCUAGCAUUAUACAGCACUCCUUAUAUCAGGUAUCCGAUCAGUAAUCACUUAUUUCCAUAAUUUACUGUAACCACUCGCUCAGUCAUUUAAAAUCCUUUAUUCAUAUUUCAGAGGACUAUUGUUCUAGUAUAAUGAAAUACUACUAAUUGGAAGAUGAGAACCUUGGAUGGAGCCAAGAUACAAGAAGUUAGCAGUUGAAGUCUAAACAUUGGGCUUUGUGGAAGGAUAGAAAAAUCUCAAGAUAGAGAAGAUGCAACAUGAGUGACCUAUGCUACGCCAUGCUCAAAUGACCAAUCAGCAUAUAAAACGAUGAUUUGAUGCGAUAGUUUUACCCUCCCCUUUUGUCAAUUGUAAUAAUCUAAUGUGAUUUGUUAAUAAACGGCAGAGCUCUUUGGGAGUCAGUGCUGAGA
Molecule: long non-coding RNA, 742 nt
Organism: Hyla sarda
Lineage: Eukaryota; Metazoa; Chordata; Amphibia; Anura; Hylidae
Exons: 3
Source: RefSeq, a predicted model, not a curated record